This 24-nucleotide non-coding RNA is filed under the name Arabidopsis thaliana (thale cress). The record is from RNAcentral. Lineage: Eukaryota; Viridiplantae; Streptophyta; Magnoliopsida; Brassicales; Brassicaceae.
GAAGCAACUUAAAGCAGGUUCCCU